UACGUAGGGUGCGAGCGUUAAUCGGAAUUACUGGGCGUAAAGCGUGCGUAGGCGGUUCGUUAAGUCAGCUGUGAAAGCCCCGGGCUCAACCUGGGAAUUGCGAUGGAGACUGCAAGGCUAGAAUCUGGCAGAGGGGGGUAGAAUUCCACGUGUGAGCAGUGAAAUGCGUAGAGAUGUGGAGGAACACCGAUGGCGAAGGCA
RNAcentral lists this ribosomal RNA (201 nucleotides) under uncultured bacterium. RNAcentral's name for it is "partial 16S ribosomal RNA". It matches the Rfam family "Bacterial small subunit ribosomal RNA", at positions 524 to 723 of the family's 1533-position model. The record is from RNAcentral.